GAUGAAGAACGUAGCGAAAUGCGAUAAGUAAUGUGAAUUGCAGAAUUCAGUGAAUCAUCGAAUCUUUGAACGCACAUUGCGCCCGCGAGUAUUCUCGCGGGCAUGCCUGUCCGAGCGUCAUUUCAACCCUCAGGGCCCGCCUGCUUCGGCAGGCGCGGCGCUGGUGUUGGGGAUCGGCCUAACCGCCGUCCCCCAAAUACAGUGGCGGUCUCGCUGCAGCCUCCCCUGCGUAGUAGCAACACUCGCAUGCGGAGUGCGGCGCGGCCACGCCGUAAAACCCCCGACUUUCUGAACGUUGACCUCGGAUCAGGUAGGAAUACCCGCUGAACUUAAGCAUAUCAAUAAGCGGAGGA
Molecule: unclassified non-coding RNA, 353 nt
Filed under: soil metagenome
Description: partial contains 5.8S ribosomal RNA, internal transcribed spacer 2, and large subunit ribosomal RNA
Rfam family: 5.8S ribosomal RNA (bases 1-120)
Source: RNAcentral